GGGCGCGCUUGUGGGCGGGGCAUGCAAAUUGCUUGGCUGUUUGUCUGGGGGAGGCAUGGGAGAAUAGAAAGCCUAAAAGCCCCCAAUAAGUUAAAGGAUAUGACAAACUAGGUAUGUGUUACAAGUUGUGGCAAUAGGGCACUGUGAAGUCUAGGCAAGAGGGCGGGCAUUCGUUUGAGGAUGAGUUUCCUCACCGUGAGCUGAAAGGCGUGGGAGAAGAGGGGUGUGCUGGCGAAGGGGCUGACCUCGGUAUCGCUUCUCGGCCUUUUGGCUAAGAUCAAGUGUAGUAUCUGUUCUUAUCAGUUUAAUAUCUGAUACGUCCUCUAUCCGAGGACAAUAUAUUAAAUGGAUUUUUGGAGCAGGGAGUUGGAAUAGGAGCUUGCUCCGUCCACUCCGCGCAUCGACCUGGUAUUGCAGUACUUCCAGGAACGGUGCACCCCCUCUGGGGGCCGGAAUAAGGGUGCAAAAGAAGAAAAAUGUCUGUUUUUUGUAACUAUAUGUGUUUUGUUUUCUUUUUCGGAACUACAGGAUUACGAUGUGUCUUUCUCCUUCAGAACUACUGUACGUUUUAUUGUUUCACAAUUACAUACAUACUACUGCUUCAGCUGGCGUUGAUUGGUGAUGCAGUAGGCACUACUGCUGCGUUUGGACGGGCGUUUUCUUCGUUGAGAAAGUGCUACUGAUUUUCUACGUGCCGCGCUUGCACAGAAGUGGGAGGAGUGUUCGGCCGUGCCUGCACGCGCGGAAACUCCCCGCCCCUUCGCGUACCCGCCUCAUGGUGGCAGCUGCUGUGCUUCGUGGUCACUUGUUCGGCUCCGGCAGCUAAAGGACAAACGCUUCCGUGCUGGCGGAGGCUCUAGCCGCAUGCGGGUGGGGGGCCUCGUAAGGGGGGCGCUCGGCUCCCGUAACUCAUGCCCAGCGGCAUGCGUUCCUGUCCCGUCCACAAGGCAAGCAGGCGCCCUGGCGCGCUACUUUUUUUCUUGACAGGUAGCGAUUAGCCGGUAGCCCCACGCGCGCCCCUCGUUCGAGGUUACAGUCGCUCCCACCGAAACAGCCCACCUUCCUCGAAGCAGCGGCUGCCCCUACGUAGAGCUUCGUCCGUUAACCGCUCCGGGCAGUACUGCACGCACGCGCGCUGCCGACACAAUCCCGUGCGGCGGCGGCGCAGCGCAGAGGUCCGUGGACCCAAGCGGCGGACAGGACCGAGGUCGCAGACGGGUGAGGGAGGAAGUAGUGUCUUCCUGUUCCCCCACGCGCCCGCAGUGCCAGGGACGCGCGGAGGCAGUGGGCGUGUGAAACGACGUGGCACAGCUACGCAGGGCAGCCCUCGGAUGCCUGAGGUAGGACAGGGGCCAGUAAGCUACCUUGCGGACGGCAGAGCGGAGGCACUCUGAUGAGAAGGUACGUCUGCCCCCGCUGAGGAAGUGGACGGAGGUCCCUGCGGAGGAGCUGAGUCUUCUCCACAACGAAGAAAACAAAAGAAAACAACAGUACUGAACCCACACUGCCUGCGUCGAGGAAGAAAUAGACUGCUGCCAGGAAAGAGGAACGCGUCUCUCAGUCUACGUCGGGCGUAGGUCGACAGAGCCUACCGCACGCUGGCAACGGGAAGAGGAGAAGGUGCUCCUACAGCCUCCUUCUGCCUCUUCCCCACCCCGCUGCCUCGGGAAGCUCUAGGGCUCUUGGGCUUCAGUGGAGAAAACCAGUAUGCACUGCCUGGCUUGCCACCUCUGGUCAAGAUUGCAGGCUCCAGGAGCCAACCCGCGUUUUCCCCUCAAACGAAGCACGAAAACUAGAUCAGAGAACUUCCCCGGGCACCAGGCUCCCACAAGCGGGAAACCAAUUAAAAAACCUGCCUCUGCACCCAUGCUAAAAUUAAAAAUCACGACGUGGAAGCCGGUAUCUGCUUUUCACACAGUGGUUUCAGGGCGCCUGCCUGCCUUGCGGACGGGGCAGGAACGCAUGCCAAUAUGGGCAUGAGUUACGGGGGCCGAGCCCACGUUACGAGGCCCCCCACCCGCAUACGGCUGGAGCCUUCUCCAGCACGGAAGUGUUUGUCUCUUACCUGCCGGAGCCAAACAAGUGACCACGAAGCAGCAGCUGUCACCAUAACGAGGUACGCGAAGGGGCGGGGAAUUUCCGCGCGUGCAGGCACGGCCAAGGACUCCGCUCACUUCCCUGCAGGCGGGGCACGUAGAAAAGUCACUGGCACCUCUUCAAACGGGGAGAGCGCUAGCACCAACACAGCAGUAGUGCCUACUGCAACAUCAGCGGUCGGCGCCACCUGGAGGGAUAAAAAGCAGCUUCGUGAUCCCCCCCACAUACCUACUAAAAAUACACGUACUUCUCUCCCUUUGCACACCUUGCUGGUCCCCAAAGGGGGUGCACCGUUCCUGGAAGUACUGCAAUACCAGGUCGAUGCGCGGAGUGGACGGAGCAAGCUCCUAUUCCAACUCCCUGCUCCAAAAAUCCAUUUAAUAUAUUGUCCUCGGAUAGAGGACGUAUCAGAUAUUAAACUGAUAAGAACAGAUACUACACUUGAUCUUAGCCAAAAGGCCGAGAAGCGAUACCACCUUUCUGCCUCUGGCCGUUGCCGUCCUCCCUUCAUCCCUAUUCAAGCCACGGUGAGCGCCCUCAUCCUCACGCCUCGUCUGACUUCUUUUGCGUCGUCCACAGUGCUAUCACUAGAGACCUGUGCAGACUUUCUGUUCUCUACCUUUGUGAGGAGAAAUUCUGUGUACUUGAUUGUCCCGUCAUUCCCGCGCCGAACAGCCAUUUCUAAUCUGCAUGCUCCGCCUUCUGUCGCCCGAGGACGCGCGGCUACCGCGGGCGGACUCCACCCUCCCCCUCCGGACCGGCUCCUCGCGCCCGGAACCCAGGCCGGACCCGGAGCCCGCCUCCUGGCCUCCUGGCCGGUGCACGUCCUGCCGCAGACCCGAGACAGGGGCGGCAGCCGGAGAAUGCGAGGGGAGCGCUGACACGGUAGCAGCUGUCACGGUUCGAGCCCCAGAAAUCAAGAACUUGCUUUUGCCCACUGCUCUUCCCCCACGCACGCACUGCACAUUCAACAACCGUUCAAUGACUAAGAGCGCCUCCUCCACGCUUAGCCAGUGCCCGACACACGCCACGAUUACGGCGGCUCGUCAGCCGCCGCCGCCGCCGCCACCGCCACCACACCCACCUCGCCCCUCCUUGCUCGGGGCCGCUCUGCUCGCGUCGGUGUUCUCCCGCCCGUCUUCUGCCCGACGCGUGAUUCACUCCCGCGGAGUUUGCUCAAAUCGACGUGCACGGACUGAAGGGCCUGCGAAUCGCGCCCGGCCCCCGUGCACGGCGCUCUGCGGAGGCCGGUCGCGUGCCCUUGUGCCCUCACGGUGGUGCAGGGCCGUCGCGGUCCCAGCCAUCCUCACUGCAACGGAGCCUGGAAGUUCGGGAGAUCACGAACGGUGACCGGAAGAGCAGGGCAGGCGUUCCCCGGCAGCGCCUCUUUCCCCAGCCUUGCCAACAACCCCACGUGGCAUCAAACCUGCGAAUGCUUUUUUGGUGCGGGGUGGGGAAAGGGGGAGGGGUCGAUCUCAUAGGUGAAAAUGGUACCUCGGCGUAGUUUGGAUUUGCAGUUUUCUAAUCUUGGGUAAAUAAGGUUGAGCGUCCUCUCCUGUUUCAGAGACGCCUUUAUUUUCUCUCUGUGAGCUAACUCCUUGUUGGGGGUCUUCGGCCCUUUUCCUCCUGGAUUCUCGGAUGGGCUUUAUCCUAAGGGCGUGGAUCUGCAAUUUACACAUUCAGGGGACUGGCCCUUUGUCUGUAAUGGAAGCGGUGACCAUUUUCUCCUGUUGGAUAUCUGGCUUUGGCUUUACUUAAGGUGAUGAUUCCAUUGCUUCAAGGUUUCAUGGAAAGUUGUUUUUAUAUCAUCAUAUGUAUCAAUUAAAAACAUAUCUUUCAGAUUUUGAGUCGAAAGGACUUAUAAUUUCCUAAAUCUUCC
Molecule: RNA transcript, 3976 nt
Organism: Balaenoptera acutorostrata (minke whale)
Lineage: Eukaryota; Metazoa; Chordata; Mammalia; Artiodactyla; Balaenopteridae
Exons: 3
Source: RefSeq, a predicted model, not a curated record